UUACGCAUAAAUAUUGAUUGUCACGUGUCAUGUUUUGAUUGAAUGAUGAAUAGAAAAAUAUUAGAUCUAACUUUUGAGCGCAUAUUUUCAUGUCUAAUCAGGAUAUGACAUUUGACAGUCAAUAUUU
Non-coding RNA from Glycine soja, 127 nucleotides. The record is from Rfam. Lineage: Eukaryota; Viridiplantae; Streptophyta; Magnoliopsida; Fabales; Fabaceae.